Non-coding RNA from Dipodomys ordii (Ord's kangaroo rat), 65 nucleotides. Lineage: Eukaryota; Metazoa; Chordata; Mammalia; Rodentia; Heteromyidae. The record is from Rfam.
GGUGACUCAGUGGUAGAGUGCUUGCCUUGCAUGCAUAAGGCCCUGGGUUCGAUUCCUCAGCACCA